CAGAUGGCGGCCGGCGCACGGGUGAGUAACACGUAUCCAACCUGCCGCUUACUCGGGGAUAGCCUUUCGAAAGAAAGAUUUAAUACCCGAUGGUAUAAAGAGUUCGCAUGUUCUCUUUAUUAAAGAAUUUCGGUAAGCGAUGGGGAUGCGUUCCAUUAGAUAGUUGGCGGGGUAACGGCCCACCAAGUCUACGAUGGAUAGGGGUUCUGAGAGGAAGGUCCCCCACAUUGGAACUGAGACACGGUCCAAACUCCGUACGGGAGGCAGCAGGUGAGGAAUAUUGGGUCAAUGGACGAGAGUCUGAACCAGCCAAAGUAGCGUGAAGGAUGACUGCCCUAUGGGUUGUAAACUUCUUUUAUAAGGGAAUAAAGUGAGGGACGUGUCCCUUUUUGUAUGUACCUUAUGAAUAAGGAUCGGCUAACUCCGUGCCAGCCGCCGC
RNAcentral lists this ribosomal RNA (439 nucleotides) under uncultured bacterium. Its description in RNAcentral is "bacterial SSU rRNA". It matches the Rfam family "Bacterial small subunit ribosomal RNA", at positions 85 to 518 of the family's 1533-position model. The record is from RNAcentral.